This 253-nucleotide ribosomal RNA is filed under the name uncultured bacterium. RNAcentral describes it as "partial 16S ribosomal RNA". It matches the Rfam family "Bacterial small subunit ribosomal RNA", at positions 524 to 776 of the family's 1533-position model. The record is from RNAcentral.
UACGAAGGGUGCUAGCGUUGUUCGGAAUUACUGGGCGUAAAGCGCGCGUAGGCGGCUAUACAAGUCAGAGGUGAAAUCCCGGGGCUCAACCCCGGAACUGCCUUUGAAACUGUAUAGCUGGAGUAUGUGAGGGGAUGGCGGAAUUCCUAAUGUAGAGGUGAAAGUCGUAGAUAUUAGGAGGAACAUCGGUGGCGAAGGCGGCCAUCUGGCACAUAACUGACGCUGAGGCGCGAAAGCGUGGGGAUCAAACAGG